This 98-nucleotide signal recognition particle RNA is filed under the name Magnetococcus marinus MC-1. RNAcentral describes it as "Magnetococcus sp. MC-1 Bacterial small signal recognition particle RNA". It matches the Rfam family "Bacterial small signal recognition particle RNA". From Rfam's summary of the family: The signal recognition particle (SRP) is a universally conserved ribonucleoprotein involved in the co-translational targeting of proteins to membranes. Archaeal SRP consists of a 7S RNA and homologues of the eukaryotic SRP19 and SRP54 proteins. The record is from Rfam by way of RNAcentral. Lineage: Bacteria; Pseudomonadati; Pseudomonadota; Magnetococcia; Magnetococcales; Magnetococcaceae.
GGCUAGGCCAUGCGCAACGAAAACCCGCCAACCCCGCCAGGUCCGGAAGGAAGCAACGGUAACGGGAUCUUUUGUGUGCCGCAUUACGUUUGGUCGGA